This 72-nucleotide microRNA precursor is filed under the name Paramuricea clavata. The record is from RNAcentral. Lineage: Eukaryota; Metazoa; Cnidaria; Anthozoa; Malacalcyonacea; Plexauridae.
GUUCAACCCCGGGGUUGAAGUUUCUACCCUGCUAGCUGAAGCAGGGUUGAAAUUUCAACCCCGGGGUUGAAC